CGACCCCACAUAUAGCAACACUUC
This 24-nucleotide microRNA is filed under the name Ananas comosus (pineapple). Its description in RNAcentral is "microRNA s1156_c008b". Lineage: Eukaryota; Viridiplantae; Streptophyta; Magnoliopsida; Poales; Bromeliaceae. The record is from RNAcentral.